Molecule: long non-coding RNA, 964 nt
Filed under: Equus caballus (horse)
Lineage: Eukaryota; Metazoa; Chordata; Mammalia; Perissodactyla; Equidae
Description: lncRNA (ENSECAG00000057533.1)
Source: RNAcentral
CACACAGCCUGUAAUAUUUCAGUUCAGUGAGGUCACAAGAAAAACUCAGUUAAAGCCUUAUUAGAGCAGUUUACAGGAGCACAUUACUGCGAAUAUGAAAUGAGAGUCUUGUCUUGAUGGAUGCGUCACCUACCCAAGAUAUUUGUUGAGAAUAAUUUGAAAAUGUAAGUAAGCAUAAUUAAGCUUCUGUCUUAUGGUAGUCUGGUCAUUUGUAUCCAGGUGCCCUCAUCUGUGUAGAUUUGACACUGCAAAUGCCUGGAAUAUAAUGAGACACAUUUCAGUCAUUCAGUUUUAAGUUAAUAUAUGGGCUUUUGCGAAUUAAAAGAGGUCUUUAGAAUUGAAAAUAAAUUGCAAUUAAUAUUUUUUUUAAAGAUUUUAUUUUUUUUUCCUUUUUCUCCCCAAAGCACCCCCGUACAUGGUUGUAUAUUCUUCGUUGUGGGUCCUUCUAGUUGUGGCAUGUGGGACGCUGCCUCAGCGUGGUUUGACGAGCAGUGCCAUGUCCGCGCCCAGGAUUCGAACCAACGAAACACUGGGCCGCCUGCAGCGGAGCGCGCGAACUUAACCACUCGGCCACGGGGCCAGCCCCUGCAAUUAAUAUUUUUAUCCGGCCCAAGAAUCCUCUACCUACGGCUGGCAGAUGAAGAAAAGAAAUCGGAGGAGGCACACUGUCUACAGAGCUGAAUGGAAAAGGACAUUUCUAUUUACUUCAGAGGAAGUUCGUUAUGAAAUAAGGAUCAUCCUUGAAUACUCCUUUCUCCAUGGUCACAAGAUUGUUACAAAGAGGUGACAUAAAGUACCUCUCCUGAUUAUGAUUCUGGACUGCCUGUGUUCAAACCUCAGCUCUGUGACUCCUGAUGAAUAGUUCAAUUCUUCUGUUUCCCUACAUGUAAAAUGGGUACAGCAAUAGUGCCUGCCUCAUUGGUCACUGUGAUGAUUAUAAAUGUAAUGCCCUCAAAAUCGCAUA